RNAcentral lists this ribosomal RNA (253 nucleotides) under uncultured bacterium. Its description in RNAcentral is "partial 16S ribosomal RNA". It matches the Rfam family "Bacterial small subunit ribosomal RNA", at positions 524 to 776 of the family's 1533-position model. The record is from RNAcentral.
UACGGAGGAUGCAAGCGUUAUCCGGAAUGAUUGGGCGUAAAGCGUCCGCAGGUGGCUGUGUAAGUCUGCUGUCAAAGAGCAAAGCUCAACUUUGUAAAGGCAGUGGAAACUACACGGCUAGAGUGCGUUCGGGGCAGAGGGAAUUCCUGGUGUAGCGGUGGAAUGCGCAGAUAUCAGGAAGAACACCAACGGCGAAGGCAGCUCGCUGGGACGGAACUGACGCUGAGGCGCGAAAGCGUGGGGAGCGAACAGG